AUUGAACGCUGGCGGCAGGCCUAACACAUGCAAGUCGAGCGGAUGACGGGAGCUUGCUCCUGGAUUCAGCGGCGGACGGGUGAGUAAUGCCUAGGAAUCUGCCUGGUAGUGGGGGAUAACGUCCGGAAACGGGCGCUAAUACAGCAUACGUCCUGAGGGAGAAAGUGGGGGAUCUUCGGACCUCACGCUAUCAGAUGAGCCUAGGUCGGAUUAGCUAGUUGGUGGGGUAAAGGCCUACCAAGGCGACGAUCCGUAACUGGUCUGAGAGGAUGAUCAGUCACACGGGAACUGAGACACGGUCCAGACUCCUACGGGACGCAGCAGUGGGGAAUAUUGGACAAUGGGCGAAAGCCUGAUCCAGCCAUGCCGCGUGUGUGAAGAAGGUCUUCGGAUUGUAAAGCACUUUAAGUUGGGAGGAAGGGCAGUAAGUUAAUACCUUGCGGUUGUGACGGUACCAACAGAAUAAGCACCGGCUAACUUCGUG
This 484-nucleotide ribosomal RNA is filed under the name uncultured bacterium. RNAcentral describes it as "partial 16S ribosomal RNA". It matches the Rfam family "Bacterial small subunit ribosomal RNA", at positions 30 to 507 of the family's 1533-position model. The record is from RNAcentral.